CUGUCUACCACACCUGCUGUCUCGACCUCUGAAUGUUCGGCUAUGAAAAGCCAACUGAUAAUUACUCCGGAGGUGCUGACCUGUUGCACCCUCUAUAACCACAUUAUUUUGUUGACUCUGCUGGUCAUCUAUGAAGAAUGUUUGAACUACAGUACUUGAAGAACGAUCUGGCCUUAAUGGCCAUGUACGCUUAUAAUCUCCACAGCCAGAAGAGGACUAGCCACCCCUCAGAGCCUGGUUCCUCUCUACGUUUCUUCCUAGGUUCCUGUUUUUCUAGAGAGUUUUUCCUAGCCACCGUGCUUCUAAAUCUGCAUUGCAUGCUAUUUGAGGUUUUAAGCUGGGUGUCGGAAUAAGCAUUUUGUGACAUCUGCUGAUGUAAAAAGGGCUUUAUAAAUAAAUUGUACUGAUUGAUUGAUGAUUGAUUGUAUGAAAUGGAGUAGCAUAUAUCCAUCAUGAAAAAUUAACAUUGAGCACUGUCUCCAUGGAGUAUAGCACUGCAGCCUUAGGCAAUGUAUAUUUACGAGGUGCAUAACAUUAUCUCAUAUCACAUGCAUGGCAAGACAUGAUUGAUGUAAUUAGAUGCUCUGGAGAGAUCCCACCCUCCUUCCCCAACACAUGUAGAAUGCUUAGAAACCACCAGAAACCUGUGAAAUAGAUCAACAGAUGAUGUUUUAUCUCCUCUCAAGGUCUGUUGGUUUACAGUAUCUCAGAAUCAGGAACUGUCAUAUCCCAUGUGAUAUGUCAAAACAAGUUGAUGCAUGUAUUAUCAUGGUGCAUUGGGUUUGUAUUUGUAUUUAUUGUGGAUCCCCUUUAGCUGCAGCAGCUACUCUUCAUGGGGUCCAGUAAAAUGAAGGCAGUUAUACAAUUGUAAAAACAUUCACAACAGAUGUCACAAAAUCCAUGUUCCUGUUUGAUUUCGGGGUAGGCUGUCAACAGCACGUACUGUGACACUAUGAUAUGUAUUCUGAUCAAGGCAACAAUACUUCUAGGCAUAUCUGACAUCAUGUAUUUGAUAUCUUUAUGUGAAGGUUAAUGUCCAUAUUGACAUCAGUUCAUUGUGUUUGAGGGCGGUUCACUGACGGGGUUUCGACGGAUACGAUUAGAUUAGACUAGUUUAACAGUUACAGAACAGCUACAGUAGCCUAUCAGAACAGCUGCAGUAUCAGAGGCGCAGAGCCUUAAUUAACGGGCUACACAUAAUGGCUGACGACAGCCAGAGCGUGAAAUGGGAGGAUCCCCCGGAUGACCAAAAUAAGGUUGUGGGGAAUAUGAAGGAUGAAACAGAGACACAUGAGACCAACAAGAACAGGACAGGAGGCAAGGCUAAACGUAAGUCCAGUGGCCGUGCCAAGAAGACUUCCGUGGAGGAGGACAGCAGCAUUGGUGCAGAGUCUUCUCAGACACCCGGGUGUGGUUUCCAGGAAAGGGGAUCUAUCAUUGAGCAGCUGGAGAAGGAGGCUCAGAGGACUCUAAUGCCUUCUCUCAAGAUUGAGACAUGCU
Molecule: long non-coding RNA, 1500 nt
Organism: Oncorhynchus keta (chum salmon)
Lineage: Eukaryota; Metazoa; Chordata; Actinopteri; Salmoniformes; Salmonidae
Exons: 4
Source: RefSeq, a predicted model, not a curated record